Molecule: ribosomal RNA, 479 nt
Filed under: uncultured bacterium
Lineage: Bacteria
Description: bacterial SSU rRNA
Rfam family: Bacterial small subunit ribosomal RNA
Source: RNAcentral
UCAUGGCUCAGAUUGAACGCUGGCGGUAUGCUUAACACAUGCAAGUCGAACGGUAGCAGGCCUUCGGGCGCUGACGAGUGGCGGACGGGUGAGUAACGCGUAGGAAUCUGCCUCAUAGUGGGGGACAACGUGGGGAAACUCACGCUAAUACCGCAUACGCCCUACGGGGGAAAGCGGGGAUCUUCGGACCUCGCGCUAUGAGAUGAGCCUGCGUUAGAUUAGCUAGUUGGUAGGGUAAAGGCCUACCAAGGCGACGAUCUAUAGCUGGUCUGAGAGGACGAUCAGCCACACUGGGACUGAGACACGGCCCAGACUCCUACGGGAGGCAGCAGUGGGGAAUAUUGGACAAUGGGCGCAAGCCUGAUCCAGCAAUACCGCGUGUGUGAAGAAGGCCUUAGGGUUGUAAAGCACUUUCAAUUGGGAGGAAAACCUGUCGGUCAAUACCGGCAGCUUGACAUUACCUUUAGAAGAAGCACCGG